RNAcentral lists this ribosomal RNA (492 nucleotides) under uncultured bacterium. Its description in RNAcentral is "partial 16S ribosomal RNA". It matches the Rfam family "Bacterial small subunit ribosomal RNA", at positions 29 to 507 of the family's 1533-position model. The record is from RNAcentral.
AGUGAACGCUGGCGGUAGGCCUAACACAUGCAAGUCGAACGGCAGCACAGUAAGAGCUUGCUCUUACGGGUGGCGAGUGGCGGACGGGUGAGGAAUACAUCGGAAUCUACUUUUUCGUAGGGGAUAACGUAGGGAAACUUACGCUAAUACCGCAUACGACCUACGGGUGAAAGCAGGGGAUCUUCGGACCUUGCGCGAUUGAAUGAGCCGAUGUCGGAUUAGCUAGUUGGCGGGGUAAAGGCCCACCAAGGCGACGAUCCGUAGCUGGUCUGAGAGGAUGAGCAGCCACACUGGAACUGAGACACGGUCCAGACUCCUACGGGAGGCAACAGUGGGGAAUAUUGGACAAUGGGGGCAAGCCUGAUCCAGCCAUACCGCGUGGGUGAAGAAGGCCUUCGGGUUGUAAAGCCCUUUUGUUGGGAAAGAAAAGCAGCAGGUUAAUACCCCGCUGUUCUGACGGUACCCAAAGAAUAAGCACCGGCUAACUUCGUG